Tyto alba (common barn owl) is the source of this 5280-nucleotide long non-coding RNA. RefSeq lists it as uncharacterized. Lineage: Eukaryota; Metazoa; Chordata; Aves; Strigiformes; Tytonidae. The transcript has 5 exons. The record is from RefSeq and is a predicted model, not a curated record.
UGGGAAGAGGUGCGAGCCAGAGGUGCUUCCAGGCUUGGGGUGACCCGGGAGGAGGCUGCGUCCCCGCUGACAUGCAGAGAUAAGAUGAUGGGUCCCGGCGGCGUGUGGGGCUCCGGCCACCCCCGCCGCUGCUAAGGCACGUUCACUGUCGUGUCCUUGGAAAAAUGCUCAGAACUUGCUUGAGAGCCCACACGCUCCCUUGGAUAAACUCAGAAGGCUCGCUUGGAGAGGAGCAGGAAUAAUCACCACAGACCCAAGAUAAAAAAAAAAAAAAAAAAAAAACAAAAAAAAACAAUAAUCAAAGACUAAUCCUAAAAAUUCUCCUUUAAUCUUUCUGCUUCCAGACCUAGUCUGUCUUUCAUCUAGGACUUUGCUAUUCUUUAGUCGUUCUACCGUUACAGAAACCACAAGGCUGGAAGAGGAGAGGAAAAAAGAGAAGAUUAAAUUAAUGAGCAGGUAAUUAUAGAUGCGCUGUGCCGUAAUUACGGAGUACAGCAAGAGCAUCCGCAGCCAGGACAGGCGCAGCGAGCCAGCUCGGGGCUACGGCCGGAGCGGGUGACUGAGAAAAGCAGCUUGGCCUCGGGAGCAGACGCUGCGGAGCGAAUCCUCACCCUCCCAAGGGAGCUGCAGAGCGGCGAAGGUCUGCUGCUGUGGAUGCGCUACGGCCCUUCCUCCCCGAGCUCCAGGAAAAGCCUGCACUGCCGCUGGGACGAGCGGGUACAGCUACAACCGUGCUGCAACUGCAAUAAAAUAGAAGAGCAAUUUCCCAUGCUGAAGGAGUGCAUUUGGUUUUGCGGUGCCCGGCAGACGCGUACCUGCCGGCCCUCGGCGCAGCCUCCAGCUCCUGCAAGGUGCAAAGUGGCAUUUGAAGCAGCAUUUUGGGCAGAGCGAGGCUGGAGGGGCCGGUCCCGGAUGAGCUGUUGGGUCGGGGGGACCGUGGCACCAACCCGGACAUCUCAGCUGCUCCCUCCGGCAAGGUUUAAGCCCCAAACGUGGCUGCAGCGCGCUCUUCCGCUGAGGCUGCUGCACGGGCGGAGGGGAGGCAGAGCCCUGGCACCACGUUUCGUGUAGCAGCACUUAAAUCAGCAAAGCUGCGCUUAGCAGGAGCGUCCUGCACGUGCGAGGUAAUUUUAUUGUGCUAUUUUAACAGGUGGUGUGGAGAAGAUGACCUUGUCCACGCGGCGAGGACAGAGCUGCGUCCCUGGCUGAGCACGCUGGAAAAGACAACUGGUGAGGGAAGGGACCUGCCUUCCAAAACGUUACAGUAUUUUAGAAAGAAGAAAAUAAAAAGCACAAAAAGAUGGCAUUUGGCCACCCCAAGGUCACAGGGGUAUGAGGAGAAGAAAUGAGUUGAACUUGGUGGAAAUGAGGUGGGCUGGUCAGCUGCUGGAUUGCUCCUGGAGGGAUGCUGGAACUGAGCACCAAGGGAGGGCAAAGACCCUCUGCAGCCAAGGGUCUCUCCAGGAGCAGCUAAAGGCCCUUUGCCCAGGGGCUGCCCCAGUGCUGGGGCAGGGGCUUGUGCCCCCCGAGGCCCCACCCAGCCCCCUGGUCCUGCGGGUGGGCACAGGAUUCCUCCCUUCCUGCAGCACACCCGCCCCUGGUUUGGAUUCAAGCCCCUCUUAAAAGCCAUCACGUUACUACGUUAUCGCCUUCUGCAAAGCAAACGUCACCGAAAUUCGGGUGGGGAACAAACGGCGUGGGAGGGGGAGGAUGUGCCCGUGGGACCUGCCCCAUCGCUGGCCUCCUCACCCGCUCCCGUCCCAGCAGCACGGCUCCCAGCCCCCCAGGAGCAGACUGGCAUCUCAAUUACCUCUUUCUUUAUCACGCCGCUGGAGUAAUCAGGGCCCCAAGCUCCAAUCUGCUAAAUACCGCUUGAAGUCAGAGAGACAAACGCACGCUAAUUACGGAGCGAAGGCAGCGCCGGGAUCCGGAGCAUCGCUCCUGCGCUGCCAGAGCUCGGCGGGCGCGCAGAUCCGGCUCUGCGCUUCCCCGGGGACCCUCUUGGGCUGUUUCGGGGUGGCAGCAGGAGCUCGGCUCGGCUCAGCCCAGCCGGCCGCGGGGGGUGAGGCGCGUCAACCGGCACGGGGGGUUUGGCACCGGGGUUCCUACCCCGCGGUGGGACCCUGGGAAGAGGAGGAGUGGGAUCUGGCCCCGGAGAGCGGUCGCUGCAAAAGCCUCGAGCUGCCGGGCUCUGUCCUCUGGGGCCGGGCUCUGCCCACGUGGUACCGGGGUCCGCAGCCGUGGUUUUUCCCCAAAGCCGUGGUUUUCCUCUGCAGCACUGCCCUCCUCGGGAGCUCGCCGGGCUCGGGAGGGCAGCCCCACGGCCCUUGCUCCCUCGCUGGUGGCUGCGGCUGAUCCUCCUUAGAGCGUCCCACCGAACCUGUUGGGCUGUGAAUCGCUUCCUGCUGAGCACCCACAGCACACAGAUUGGAGGUAACUUUACUCUAGAGAGCCAAUUAAUGCAAAUCUAGGUCUGGUAAUUACAGCGUGAUAAGAUCCCAGCUGCUGAUAUCUCUGGGCAGACAAGGCACCAGGAAGCAAUCUCUGAACGCGCUGGCCGUGACUAUCACAGCUUCACCUCCGUCCUGCGAAGCCUCGGGAAGCUCAGCGUGGCCGUGCUGGUGCCACAGCCCCGCGGCAGGGACGGAGCCACCAGGAGCCCCGAGCACGGCCGCUGCCCCACGGCAUCUCGUCUCUGCCCAGGGCCGGACACCUCCUCCUUGGCUGCCAGGGCCCGCUCUCCAUCCUCCCGGUGAGGGCAAACUUCAGCGGGGAAGUGUUUAUCUGCCGGGCAGUUUGCACCGUGCCUGCUGGGAACCGAAGCUGCCGGGAGAGGAUGGGGAUCGAUUUCUGCAAGCCCGGGGAGGAGAGGUGCAGCCCAGUGCUGGGAAGACUGGAAGCCCCUUGACGUUGCCUUUCUUUCAGCCGUGGGAGGUGUUGAAGCACCCGGCCGAAUUUCCUCUGUGUUGACGAGGAGCAAACAGUCCAGCAGAUGGGAGUUCCCGGCAAGGAGCGCUGUUUGCAGAGAAAAUCCAGAGGCGUUUUGGUGCGUUCGGAGCCGUUGCUUCCUGAGAGAGACCACUGAGGCUGCUUGUUCUGCCAGGCGGAAAUGCCACUGUUUACUUCUGCAUUCGGCGUAAAGGGGAACAAGAACGGGUCCUGAAAUGUCUGCAUUUCCUACGGAAAGAAGAUGCUGAUUUGUCAAAAGGGAAGCGCGCAGCAGAAAUAGCUGAAACCCAAGAAGAAGUCCGGGACUCUCAGAGUCCUCAGUAUCUGUUUUAAUUAUUACUCUGGUGGGAUUUUCUUAGAGAUAUCUCCACAGUGAUAACCGUUAUCGCUUUAUUUUAUAGCUUUGGCUAUUUGCAAGCCGCGAAAGAGCAGGACCAGGGACACGAAGAGCUUCAGGGACACGUUCCACAGCGGAAAGCGCUGGCUUUCGUCUGCCCCGCGUACAAGGAGCAGGACGUUGUCCCCAGCGCUCACGGCCCGGUGCUGGCUCCCUGCGACCUCACGGCCGUCCCCGCAAAAGCGAGGGGACGAGGGUGCUCCGGAGCCGGCCGGGCGACUGCCGCGCACCUCGCCGGAUCCGGCCCGUGGCAGCCGACGGAGCGAGGGAAAUGGGAUGCCGGGGACUGCUCGCUGCAGAGCACAGCCCGCCUCUUUCUAGUCCCAUAAUUUUUGUUGGGAAGUUUUAUCUUUUUAAUUUGUUACAUAUCAUGCAUCGUCUGAUUAAUUAUUGCUUCUCUGCAGGGAGGACUAGAGUUUAUAGAGCAAUAUAGCAUUAGUGUUAGCUUUAUACACCCUCAAAGCCCAGAGGAAGCUCAGCAGAGUACUUAUGCGAUGUUCUGUCGAUAAUAAUGACUCAGCAUUUGGCCGGUUCGUGGGUAUAUCAGAAGCGCUUUAUUAAAACGCACGCAGUAUAUGCAUCGAACAUAAAUACAGCCAAGAGAUGCGGAGCGUGCCGUGCCGCAUACAUAGCAGCCGGCGCCUCUCCGGGAGAGCGGGGGCUGGAGGAGCUGCUCGCCGCCGAGCCCUGCCUGCCCCUGCCCGCUCCGCCGCGCCCCGGCCGCGCAGCCCUUCAAUUGCCGCGGCGGCCUGGGCUGCAUCGAGUGGCCCGGCGUGUCCUUCAGCUGCGCGAAUGCAGAAGGAGCCAGGGUGAAAUCCCCUUUACAGCCCCGUCUCUCUGUCGGCUGAGCGAGAGCCGUCUCCCUGAAGGAGCCUUCCCAUGCGGCGGACGGUAUGAAGGAGGCUGUAGGAGUGUUCGGGGAAGGUACUGCGGCAGGACUAACAGCGAUGAAAUGCAGUUGAACAUUUCCAGCGCUGAGUAAACCAUAUGUCUUCAUAAUUUGAUUGUGCCCCGGUCCCCCAGGUACCUCCCAGCCCUAUUGAACACCGAUGGCGUUAUUUAGAAUCAUAAAUAAUAUUAUCAAAGAGGGUCUGCUGGGUAAACAGAGUCAGUGUAUAAAUUGUCGGUGCGCGGUAUUGAUUGUUCGGAGCUGACUAAUGAAUUAUUCUGUUUAAGGGCCCGUGGAAAUACCGCUCAGCGUUUGCAAGGCGAGGGCCCUUUGAAGAACUGCCCCCCCCCCCAGCGCUGCUGGGCUCGGUCGCCCCGGCACUGGCCCCCGCGGCGAGCGGGCACGCAUCUGCCAACGGCGGGAGCUUGUCUCAGGCAACCCGGCAAACGUUGCCCUAAGCUUUGAUCCCGCUAGCCUCGUCUUUUCCUCCUCGUCUCUCAUCCUCCUGCUUUCCUUCCGUCCUUCUCCGCGGGGAGAAGGGCUGUGAUGCGAGGUGUGGGGCUGGGGAGGGAGCCCGGCCGCUGCCCUGACCCGCCGUUUCGGCCGCCCGAGGCUUCCCGGUGCUGGCCCCAGGCGCUUCUCCCACUUGUUGGGAUUUCUCAGCUUUUGGGGCUUGCAUAUCUUUAAAUAGGGUUUCUUCCCCGGAGACGUAGUAGCUGCCUCAAGCCCUGCCCCGGCACAAGGAGAAAUGAGCCGUCCUUUUUAACAGAGCUUGCUUUUUUCCUCCUCACCUGCAUAAUAGGUUCUGUUAAAUUUAUAGUUUUUCAAUGCCUUUGAUGUAAGGGACUCCAAACACUUCCCCACUAAUCUCACGCAGCGGUGCCUGCAACGCCGAAGGCGCUGGCUGGGGAUACGGCACGGAACCAGACAACAGCUAUUGGCGUCUGGGGGGCCGGGGCAGCAUUAAGACACAGCUAAUUUUAAAAGAAAUGAUGCCAUUAAAAUGCUUUUGUUCUUUUUCCCUGCUUUCCAGGCUAGAGGCUCU